Molecule: ribosomal RNA, 771 nt
Filed under: uncultured fungus
Lineage: Eukaryota; Fungi
Description: eukaryotic LSU rRNA
Rfam family: Eukaryotic small subunit ribosomal RNA (bases 1-242)
Source: RNAcentral
UUGCUCUUCAACGAGGAAUGCCUAGUAGGCACGAGUCAUCAGCUCGUGCCGAUUACGUCCCUGCCCUUUGUACACACCGCCCGUCGCUACUACCGAUUGAAUGGCUCGGUGAGGCCUUCGGACUGGCGCAGGAGGGUUGGCAACGACCCCCCCNGCGCCGGAAAGUUGGUCAAACCCGGUCAUUUAGAGGAAGUAAAAGUCGUAACAAGGUUUCCGUAGGUGAACCUGCGGAAGGAUCAUUACCGAGUGCGGGCUGCCUCCGGGCGCCCAACCUCCCACCCGUGACUACCUAACACUGUUGCUUCGGCGGGGAGCCCUCUCGGGGGCGAGCCGCCGGGGACUACUGAACUUCAUGCCUGAGAGUGAUGCAGUCUGAGUCUGAAUAUAAAAUCAGUCAAAACUUUCAACAAUGGAUCUCUUGGUUCCGGCAUCGAUGAAGAACGCAGCGAACUGCGAUAAGUAAUGUGAAUUGCAGAAUUUAGUGAAUCAUCGAGUCUUUGAACGCACAUUGCGCCCCCUGGCAUUCCGGGGGGCAUGCCUGUCCGAGCGUCAUUGCUGCCCAUCAAGCCCGGCUUGUGUGUUGGGUGUUUGUCUCGCCUCUGCGUGUAGACUCGCCUCAAAACAAUUGGCAGCCGGCGUAUUGAUUUCGGAGCGCAGUACAUCUCGCGCUUUGCACUCAUAACGACGACGUCCAAAAGUACAUUUUUACACUCUUGACCUCGGAUCAGGUAGGGAUACCCGCUGAACUUAAGCAUAUCAAUAAGCGGAGGA